RNAcentral lists this long non-coding RNA (543 nucleotides) under Salvia miltiorrhiza (redroot sage). Its description in RNAcentral is "long non-coding RNA (SMIL_LNC008261)". The record is from RNAcentral. Lineage: Eukaryota; Viridiplantae; Streptophyta; Magnoliopsida; Lamiales; Lamiaceae.
UAAACAGGACGCACGCCGCCGUCAAAGCGGUGCGCCGCCGCUGCCUCCGUCGUCUUCGCGGCAGAUCCGCUGCCGCGUCAAGACCACGGCCACCACCUUUCCUCCCUUCGCUCGUUCUCACCUUCUCUCAAUUUCGCACUGACUCACACACACUCACACGCGCGCACGCAGACACCACCACCGCGCUGCCGCGUCGUCCUCCCCUUCGCCGGUGGACAGACGGCCAGGAGCCGCCGCCUCCGUCGUCCGUUGAAUUUAAAGGUAAGCCCUAAUUUCCUUUCUCUCCUUUUCUUUUUCCUUCCCUCAUCCCUUCCCUUUUCUAAAUUAAAAUUUGAAAACCCUCUCCUCUGUUCCUUCCUUUGGCAGAUCGGAACCACGGCGGGGAGCCGCCUUCCGUCGACCACCGGCAGCCACCGCGGCUGCCGUUCCCUGACCUCGACUCACACGCACACACAGCAGUCAAGCCUCAAAUCAGUUCACACAUAGCAUUCUUAGCACAUAUCAUUCUCAUACUGUAAUCUGUAAUUGCUUAAUCAAAUCUGA